This 254-nucleotide ribosomal RNA is filed under the name uncultured bacterium. RNAcentral's name for it is "partial 16S ribosomal RNA". It matches the Rfam family "Bacterial small subunit ribosomal RNA", at positions 524 to 776 of the family's 1533-position model. The record is from RNAcentral.
GGCGUAGGGCGCGAGCGUUGUCCGGAUUUAUUGGGCGUAAAGAGCUCGUAGGCGGUCUGUCGCGUCGGUCGUGAAAACUUGGGGCUUAACCCUGAGCUUGCGGUCGAUACGGGCAUGACUGGAGUUCGGCAGGGGAGACUGGAAUUCCUGGUGUAGCGGUGAAAUGCGCAGAUAUCAGGAGGAACACCGGUGGCGAAGGCGGGUCUCUGGGCCGAUACUGACGCUGAGACGCGAAAGCGUGGGGAGCGAACAGG